RNAcentral lists this ribosomal RNA (466 nucleotides) under uncultured bacterium. RNAcentral describes it as "partial 16S ribosomal RNA". It matches the Rfam family "Bacterial small subunit ribosomal RNA", at positions 339 to 795 of the family's 1533-position model. The record is from RNAcentral.
CUACGGGUCGCAGCAGUGGGGAAUAUUGCGCAAUGGGCGAAAGCCUGACGCAGCGACGCCGCGUGGGUGAUGAAGGUUUUCGGAUCGUAAAGCCCUGUAGGAGAGGGAAGAACAACCUGUGAGUUAAUACCUCAUGGGCCUGACGGUACCUCUUCAGAAAGCACCGGCUAACUCCGUGCCAGCAGCCGCGGUAAUACGGAGGGUGCUAACGUUGUUCGGAAUCACUGGGCGUAAAGCGCGUGUAGGCGGCAUAGUUAGUCAGAUGUGAAAGCCCUCGGCUUAACCGAGGAAGUGCAUUUGAAACUGCCAAGCUAGAGUACGGGAGAGGGUUGUAGAAUUCCCGGUGUAGAGGUGAUAUUCGUAGAUAUCGGGAGGAAUACCGGUGGCGAAGGCGGCAGCCUGGACCGAUACUGACGCUGAGACGCGAAAGCGUGGGGAGCAAACAGGAUUAGAUACCCUCGUAGUC